RNAcentral lists this ribosomal RNA (414 nucleotides) under uncultured bacterium. RNAcentral's name for it is "bacterial SSU rRNA". It matches the Rfam family "Bacterial small subunit ribosomal RNA", at positions 355 to 787 of the family's 1533-position model. The record is from RNAcentral.
UGGGGAAUAUUGGACAAUGGGCGCAAGCCUGAUCCAGCCAUGCCGCGUGAGUGAUGAAGGCCCUAGGGUUGUAAAGCUCUUCAACGGUGAAGAUAAUGACGGUAACCGUAGAAGAAGCCCCGGCUAACUUCGUGCCAGCAGCCGCGGUAAUACGAAGGGGGCUAGCGUUGUUCGGAAUUACCGGGCGUAAAGCGCACGUAGGCGGAUACUUAAGUCAGGGGUGAAAUCCCGGGGCUCAACCCCGGAACUGCCUUUGAUACUGGGUAUCUCGAGUCCGGAAGAGGUGAGUGGAAUUCCGAGUGUAGAGGUGAAAUUCGUAGAUAUUCGGAGGAACACCAGUGGCGAAGGCGGCUCACUGGUCCGGUACUGACGCUGAGGUGCGAAAGCGUGGGGAGCAAACAGGAUUAGAUACCC